GACGAACGCUGGCGGCGUGCUUAACACAUGCAAGUCGAACGGAAAGGCCUGCUUUCCCUUGUGGAUUGCGGGUACUCGAGUGGCGAACGGGUGAGUAACACGUGAGUGAUCUGCCCCCAACUUGGGUAUAAGCCUGGGAAACUGGGUCUAAUUCCCGAUAGGACUGCAGGGUGGUGCCUGUGGUGGAAAACGAUUUUCUAGUGGUUGGGGAUGAGCUCGCGGCCUAUCAGCUUGUUGGUGGGGUAAUGGCCUACCAAGGCGGCGACGGGUAGCCGGCCUGGGAGGGUGGACGGCCACAUUGGGACUGAGAUACGGCCCAGACUCCUACGGGAGGCAGCAGUGGGGAAGAUUGCACAAUGGGCGGAAGCCUGAUGCAGCGACGCCGCGUGGGGGAUGACGGCCUUCGGGUGGUAAACUCCUUUCGACCGCGAGGAAGCCACCUGGUUGGAAGGGUGGUGACGGUAGUGGUAGAAGAAGCACCGGCUAACUACGUG
Molecule: ribosomal RNA, 494 nt
Filed under: uncultured bacterium
Lineage: Bacteria
Description: partial 16S ribosomal RNA
Rfam family: Bacterial small subunit ribosomal RNA
Source: RNAcentral